This 380-nucleotide ribosomal RNA is filed under the name uncultured Deferribacteres bacterium. RNAcentral's name for it is "bacterial SSU rRNA". It matches the Rfam family "Bacterial small subunit ribosomal RNA", at positions 521 to 896 of the family's 1533-position model. The record is from RNAcentral. Lineage: Bacteria; Pseudomonadati; Deferribacterota; Deferribacteres.
UAAUACGGGGGGAGCAAGCGUUGUCCGGAAUUACUGGGCGUAAAGGGCGUGUAGGCGGGUUGGUAAGUCAGAUGUGAAAUGUUAUGGCUCAACCAUAAAUUGUCAUCUGAAACUAUCGGUCUUGAGUUCGAGAGAGGGUGGUGGAAUUCUCGGUGUAGCGGUGAAAUGCGUAGAUAUCGGGAGGAACACCGGAGGCGAAGGCGGCCACCUGGCUCGACACUGACGCUGAGGCGCGAAAGCGUGGGAAGCAAACAGGAUUAGAUACCCUGGUAGUCCACGCUGUAAACGAUGGGCACUAGAUGUCGGUUUUGUCACAGACAAGAUCGGUGUCGCAGCUAACGCAUUAAGUGCCCCGCCUGGGGAGUACGCUCGCAAGGGUG